ACUCCUACGGGAGGCAGCAGUUAAGAAUCUUGCACAAUGGGCGCAAGCCUGAUGCAGCGACGCCGCGUGAAUGAUGAAGGCUUUAGGGUUGUAAAGUUCAGUAAGCAGGGAAGAAUAAGCAUCGGGUAAUAUUCGGUGUGAUGACGGUACCUGCCUAAAGCCCCGGCUAACUACGUGCCAGCAGCCGCGGUAAUAC
Molecule: ribosomal RNA, 196 nt
Filed under: uncultured bacterium
Lineage: Bacteria
Description: partial 16S ribosomal RNA
Rfam family: Bacterial small subunit ribosomal RNA
Source: RNAcentral